Molecule: ribosomal RNA, 1247 nt
Filed under: Spirocaecum mogilae
Lineage: Eukaryota; Metazoa; Platyhelminthes; Trematoda; Strigeidida; Aporocotylidae
Description: eukaryotic LSU rRNA
Rfam family: Eukaryotic large subunit ribosomal RNA
Source: RNAcentral
GGAUUCCCUUAGUAACGGCGAGUGAACAGGGAUUAGCUCAGCACCGAAGCCUGCGAUUAUUUGAUUGCUAGGCAAUGUGGUGUUUAAAUUGGUUUUUGGCAAUUCUGCUUCAUCCUAAGUCCAUCAAUGAGUACGGCCAAUGGACCGGCCCAUAGAGGGUGAAAGGCCCGUGUGGAUGAAGAUCAAGUGUGACAGGAUUGUCAUAAACCAAUUGUGGAGUCGGGUUGUUUGAGAAUGCAGCCCAAAGUGGGUGGUAGACUCCAUCCAAGGCUAAAUACUGGCACGAAUCCGAUAGCAAACAAGUACCGUGAGGGAAAGUUGAAAAGUACUUUGAAGAGAGAGUAAACAGUGCGUGAAACCGCUCAGAGGUAAACGGGUGGAGUUGAACUGAAAUYCGCGAGAAUUUAACUGAUGAGUAUGGCAUGCGCUUGAGCAUGUUGGCCAGCACCAAGGGUUUGCUUAAUUGCGGGCCUUGACUUUUCGGGGUUUGGGUACACGUUGCACUUAUCAAGUGUUGUGUGCUUUGGUUGCGUUGGGCUUGCUUGUCAGUGCAUUUUCUCGGGGUGAUCACCACGACCGGCGUAGUUGCCUUUUCGCCGCGGUUAAACCGAUCAAAUUUGGUCAUGUGGCCGGGUUUGGUCGGGAUGGCAGGUAGCUUGUUUGCUCAUUUGAGUUUGCAAGUGUUAUUAGCUGACUGUGGCAAAUCUGUGCAAUAUGUCGGAGAUGACGGCUUUGCCCACACUGUUUGGCAAAUCAAGUUGAGUUUGAUUGGCAUGUACUUGUUUUGGCAAGUCUGCUAGUAGCUUAGCAAGAUUUUGUUAUCAGUAGUGUGUGUAACGUGCUUUGAGCCUAUAGACUGUGGUGUAGUGGUAGACGAUCCACCCGACCCGUCUUGAAACACGGACCAAGGAGUUUAACAUGUACGCGAGUCAUUGGGCGUUACAAAACCCAAAGGCGCAGUGAAGGUAAAGGUUCGACUUGUUCGGACUGAGGUGAGAUCUUGUUGUAAUUAUUUAAUAUUAUCAAGCAUAAUGCAAUAAGCGCAUCACCGGCCCGUCUCAUGGUGUAGUCAUAAAGGUUUGCUUUGUGCGUCAUCGGGGCGGAGCUAGAGCGUACACGUUGAGACCCGAAAGAUGGUGAACUAUGCUUGCGCAGGUUGAAGCCAGAGGAAACUCUGGUGGAGGACCGCAGCGAUUCUGACGUGCAAAUCGAUCGUCAAACGUGAGUAUAGGGGCGAAAGACUAAUC